Cantharellus anzutake is the source of this 72-nucleotide non-coding RNA. The record is from the annotation of a RefSeq genome assembly. NCBI's taxonomy places the organism in Eukaryota, Fungi, Basidiomycota, Agaricomycetes, Cantharellales, Hydnaceae.
ACAGUAUUGGUCCAAUGGUUAGGAUUCUUCCCUUCCAAGGAAGAGGUCGGUGUUCGAUUCACCGAUACUGUA